CCUACGGGAGGCUGCAGUGGGGAAUUUUGCGCAAUGCUCGUAAGAGUGACGCAGCGACGCCGCGUGAAUGACGAAGGCCUUCGGGUCGUAAAGUUCUUUCGACAGGGAAGUAAAUGCCUAUAAGUAACUGUGUAUGUAUUGACGGUACCUGUAUAAGCAGCCCCGGCUAACUCCGUGCCAGCAGCCGCGGUAAUACGGAGGGGGCGAGCGUUGUUCGGAGGGACUGGGCGUAAAGAGCACGUAGGCGGUGUUGUAAGUCAUUAGUCAAAGACUAGAGCUCAACUUUAGUAAGGCUAGUGAUACUAUAAUACUAGAGUAUCAGAGAGGAUUGCAGAAUGCCUGGGGUAGCGGUGAAAUGCGUAGAUAUCAGGAGGAAUACCGUUAGCGAAGGCGGCAAUCUGGCUGGAAACUGACGCUGAGGUGCGAAAGCGUGGGUAGCAAACAGGAUUAGAUACCCUGGUAGUC
RNAcentral lists this ribosomal RNA (465 nucleotides) under uncultured bacterium. RNAcentral describes it as "partial 16S ribosomal RNA". It matches the Rfam family "Bacterial small subunit ribosomal RNA", at positions 338 to 795 of the family's 1533-position model. The record is from RNAcentral.